GUGAGCGGCUUCGGCGAGAAUAACCGCCUUUCCCGUCCGAGCCAACGUCCGGCCAGCCCUUCCUGUCAGUCCAGGGGCCUGGCUUGACUGGGGGUGGGAGAUGAGGGGCCGAAAAUGCACCCCAGGCGCUCUCUUGCCUAAAAGAUGAUCGAGAAGCACGUUUGAUCGGAGCUUGUAUGAUCUUCGUGACGGCUGCUAUAUGGCAAGCACUAAACCACUAUGCUUACCGAGAUGCGGUUUUCCUCGCAGAACGCCUUUAUGCAGAAGUACACUCAGAAGAAGCCUUGUUUUUACUGGCAACCUGUUAUUACCGCUCAGGAAAGGCAUAUAAAGCAUAUAGACUCUUGAAAGGACACAGUUGUACUACACCGCAAUGCAAAUACCUGCUUGCAAAAUGUUGUGUUGAUCUCAGCAAGCUUGCAGAAGGGGAACAAAUCUUAUCUGGUGGAGUGUUUAAUAAGCAGAAAAGCCAUGAUGAUAUUGUUACUGAGUUUGGUGAUUCAGCUUGCUUUACUCUUUCAUUGUUGGGACAUGUAUAUUGCAAGACAGAUCGGCUUGCCAAAGGAUCAGAAUGUUACCAAAAGAGCCUUAGUUUAAAUCCUUUCCUCUGGUCUCCCUUUGAAUCAUUAUGUGAAAUAGGUGAAAAGCCAGAUCCUGACCAAACAUUUAAAUUCACAUCUUUACAGAACUUUAGCAACUGUCUGCCCAACUCUUGCACAACACAAGUACCUAAUCAUAGUUUAUCUCACAGACAGCCUGAGACAGUUCUUACGGAAACACCCCAGGACACAAUUGAAUUAAACAGAUUGAAUUUAGAAUCUUCCAAUUCAAAGUACUCCUUGAAUACAGAUUCCUCAGU
Molecule: small RNA, 859 nt
Filed under: Pongo abelii (Sumatran orangutan)
Lineage: Eukaryota; Metazoa; Chordata; Mammalia; Primates; Hominidae
Description: processed transcript
Source: RNAcentral